RNAcentral lists this unclassified non-coding RNA (292 nucleotides) under uncultured Helotiales. RNAcentral describes it as "sequence contains ITS1". The stretch from base 1 to 105 matches the Rfam family "5.8S ribosomal RNA", at positions 50 to 154 of the family's 154-position model. Lineage: Eukaryota; Fungi; Ascomycota; Leotiomycetes; Helotiales. The record is from RNAcentral.
GAAAUGCGAUAAGUAAUGUGAAUUGCAGAAUUCAGUGAAUCAUCGAAUCUUUGAACGCACAUUGCGCCCCUUGGUAUUCCGAGGGGCAUGCCUGUUCGAGCGUCAUUAUAACCACUCAAGCCCUCGGCUUGGUCUUGGGGUUCGCGGUUUCGCGGCCCUUAAAAUCAGUGGCGGUGCCGUCUGGCUCUAAGCGUAGUAAUCCUCUCGCUAUAGGGUCCAGGUAACCACCUGUCAGAACCCCCCAUUCUUUAUGGUUGACCUCGGAUCAGGUAGGGAUACCCGCUGAACUUAA